This is a long non-coding RNA of Puntigrus tetrazona (Sumatra barb), 280 nucleotides long. RefSeq lists it as uncharacterized. The record is from RefSeq and is a predicted model, not a curated record. The transcript is spliced from 3 exons. Lineage: Eukaryota; Metazoa; Chordata; Actinopteri; Cypriniformes; Cyprinidae.
GGAGAGUGUGAGAUCAGCAAAGUGGGUGACAAUACUUACGCAUGAUCAGUUUUAUGGUAGAAGAAACCCAGAAAAGAGUGCUUGAAAGAAAGGAUCAUGUCAUCAAUAUAGAAGGACAGGAGAUCCGUGUUUCGUUAAGAUGUGAAAAUGUUGCUGAAAGCGGCAAACAACCGAAAGCAUCUGCAAGUGAGAGUGCUAAAUGUGUGGAGAAGGUUUUUAAAUUGGACUAUUAUCUACUACGCUACUUAAAUGAAUGUAAAAAAAGGCAAAUUCAGACUUG